CGAAAGCCUGACGGAGCAACGCCGCGUGUGGGAAGAAGGCUCUCGGGCUGUCAACCACUUUUCUCAGGGAAGAAGUUCUGACGGUACCUGAGGAAUCAGCCUCGGCUAACUCCGUGCCAGCAGCCGCGGUAAUACGGAGGAGGCAAGCGUUAUCCGGAAUUAUUGGGCGUAAAGCGUCCGUAGGGGGCUCGUCAAGUCUGCUGUCAAAGCUCGGAGCUCAACUCCGACCCGGCAGUGGAAACUGGUGCGCUAGAGGGCGACAGGGGUAGAGGGAAUUCCCAGUGUAGCGGUGAAAUGCGUAGAGAUUGGGAAGAACACCGGUGGCGAAAGCGCUCUACUGGGUCGCACCUGACCCUCAGGGACGAAAGCUAAGGUAGCG
This 379-nucleotide ribosomal RNA is filed under the name uncultured cyanobacterium. Its description in RNAcentral is "bacterial SSU rRNA". It matches the Rfam family "Bacterial small subunit ribosomal RNA", at positions 376 to 770 of the family's 1533-position model. Lineage: Bacteria; Bacillati; Cyanobacteriota. The record is from RNAcentral.